AACGAACGCUGGCGGCGUGCCUAACACAUGCAAGUCGAACGAGAAAGGGGCUUCGGCCCUGAGUAAAGUGGCGCACGGGUGAGUAACACGUGGGUAACCUGCCUCUAAGACUGGGACAACUUGUCGAAAGAUAAGCUAAUACCGGAUAAGACCACGGUUUCCGAGGGGACUGAGGUCAAAGGUAGCCUCUAUUUAUAAGCAAUCACUUAGAGAUGGGCCCGCGCACCAUUAGCUAGUUGGUGGGGUAAUGGCCUACCAAGGCAAAGAUGGUUAGCUGGUCUGAGAGGAUGAUCAGCCACAUUGGAACUGAGACACGGUCCAGACUCCUACGGGUGGCAG
RNAcentral lists this ribosomal RNA (339 nucleotides) under uncultured Pseudomonadota bacterium. RNAcentral describes it as "bacterial SSU rRNA". It matches the Rfam family "Bacterial small subunit ribosomal RNA", at positions 29 to 351 of the family's 1533-position model. Lineage: Bacteria; Pseudomonadati; Pseudomonadota. The record is from RNAcentral.